AAUUCUCAACCCCACUAGCUUUUGUGAGCUAUGCUGGGGCUUGGAUGUUGGGAGUUUGCGGGCCUUUACUAGGUCGGCUCUCCUGAAAUACAUUAGCGGAACCGUUUGCAGUCCCGUCACUAGUGUGAUAAUUAUCUACACUGUGAUGACUGCUCUCUGACUAGUUCAGCUGCUAAUCGUCCACUGUGGACAAUCAUUAAUGAACU
This 206-nucleotide unclassified non-coding RNA is filed under the name Apioperdon pyriforme. Its description in RNAcentral is "partial internal transcribed spacer 2". Lineage: Eukaryota; Fungi; Basidiomycota; Agaricomycetes; Agaricales; Lycoperdaceae. The record is from RNAcentral. RNAcentral also lists the same sequence under 1 other name.